AGAUUGAACGCUGGCGGCAUGCUUUACACAUGCAAGUCGAACGGCAGCACGGGGGCAACCCUGGUGGCGAGUGGCGAACGGGUGAGUAAUGCAUCGGAACGUAUCCUUGAGUGGGGGAUAACGCAGCGAAAGUUGUGCUAAUACCGCAUAAGCUCUGAGGAGGAAAGCGGGGGACCGAAAGGCCUCGCGCUGAAGGAGCGGCCGAUGUCCGAUUAGCUGGUUGGUGGGGUAACGGCCCACCAAGGCGACGAUCGGUAGCUGGUCUGAGAGGAUGAUCAGCCACACUGGGACUGAGACACGGCCCAGACUCCUACGGGCGGCAGC
RNAcentral lists this ribosomal RNA (324 nucleotides) under uncultured prokaryote. RNAcentral's name for it is "bacterial SSU rRNA". It matches the Rfam family "Bacterial small subunit ribosomal RNA", at positions 26 to 352 of the family's 1533-position model. The record is from RNAcentral.